GUUCCCAUGCCGAACACGGAAGUUAAGCUCUUCAGCGCCGAUGGUAGUCGGGGGUUUCCCCCUGUGAGAGUAGGACGCCGCCAAGC
This 86-nucleotide ribosomal RNA is filed under the name Bacillus amyloliquefaciens. The record is from RNAcentral. Lineage: Bacteria; Bacillati; Bacillota; Bacilli; Caryophanales; Bacillaceae. RNAcentral also lists the same sequence under 2 other names.